This is a non-coding RNA of Cymbomonas tetramitiformis, 72 nucleotides long. The record is from the annotation of a GenBank genome assembly. Lineage: Eukaryota; Viridiplantae; Chlorophyta; Pyramimonadophyceae; Pyramimonadales; Pyramimonadaceae.
AGCGAGAUGGAGCAAUGGUAGCUCAAGCAGCCCGUGUGCUGAAAGAUGCUGGUUCGAAUCCAGCUCUCGCUG